This 1124-nucleotide ribosomal RNA is filed under the name Chrysis sp. ON52. Its description in RNAcentral is "partial 16S ribosomal RNA". The record is from RNAcentral. Lineage: Eukaryota; Metazoa; Arthropoda; Insecta; Hymenoptera; Chrysididae.
AUUUAAAAUUGAUUUAAAUCUUUUAGUUAAAUUUAAAAUUUAAAUAAAAAUUUAGAAAUUAAAAAUUUUUAGUAUUAAUUGGAAAAAAAAGUUAUUAUUUUUUAAUUGUAAAAGUAAUUUAAAAUAAAAAAAAGAAGAUUUUGUUUAUUGUACCUUUUGUAUCAGGGAUUAUUAAAAUUAAAUGUUAAUAUUAAUAUAUCUCGAAUUAAAAAGAGCUAAUUUAAUAUGAUAGUUAAUGUAGAAUAAUUAUUAUAAAUUUUAAAUUUGAAAUGAAAUGUUAAACGAUUUUUAAGAUAUCUAGUUUUUUAAUAUAAAAAUUUAAUUUUUUUAUAAAUUUAAUUAUUAAUAAUUAAGGAUUAUUAAUUAAUUUAUAGAGAAGAAUUUAUGGGAUUAUCUAUAAAUUUAAAUUAAAUGAUAUAUUUAUAAUUUAAAAUUUAGAAAUUAAAAUUUUUAAAAUUAAAAAGUUUUUAAUAAUUUAUUAUUUAGAAUUAAUUUGAUUUUUAAAGUUAUUAAUUUAUUAUUAAAAUAAAUUUAUAAAUUUUUUAUAAGUUAAAAUAAUGAUAAUAUUAGUAUAAAUAAAUUGUUAAAUUAAUUGUUUUGUUAAAUUAAUUUAAGGAAUUAAGCAAAUUUAAAAAUUCACUUGUUUAUCAAAAACAUGUUUUUUUGAAAUUAAUAAAAAAUUUUCUCUGCCCAAUGAUAAAUUAAAUGGCCGCAGUAUUUUGACUGUGCAAAGGUAGCAUAAUAAAUAGCUUUUUAAUUGAAGGCUAGAAUGAAUGAGAGGAUGAAAUUUUAACUGUCUCAAUUUAAUUAUAAAAUUUUAUUUUAAGUUAAAAUUCUUAAAUAAAUUUAAGGGACGAGAAGACCCUAUAGAAUUUAAAAAUUAAAUUUAAUUUUGGAGAUAAUAUUAAAUUAAAAUUAUUUUAAAAUUUUUUUAUUGGGAUGAUAUUUAAAUUUAAAUAACUUAAAAUUAUUAAAUUCAAUGAUUAAUGAAUUUAAGAGUAAAUUUAAUAAAUAAAAGAUAAAAUUACCUUAGGGAUAACAGCGUAAUAAAUUUUUAAAGUUCAAAUUAAAAAAUUUGAUUGCGACCUCGAUGUUGAAUUAAAAUAAAAUUUAAGUGAAGAAGC